This is an RNA transcript of Physeter macrocephalus (sperm whale), 7103 nucleotides long. It is a transcript of the gene named centriole, cilia and spindle associated protein, with no coding region annotated. The transcript is spliced from 7 exons. The record is from RefSeq and is a predicted model, not a curated record. Lineage: Eukaryota; Metazoa; Chordata; Mammalia; Artiodactyla; Physeteridae.
GUAUACGACCUUCAGAGGCCUUCCAACUUCUGCUAUUAACCUCUUGGAAGAAAGGGCCAGGUGAAGAAGCCAGGCUAACCUCUUGGAGGAUGAGACCGCAAGGAGGAGAUCAAGACAGCCCAGCCCACAGCCAGCCUCAGUGCCAGGUGUGUGAGUGAGGCCAUCUUGAACCUUCCAGCCCAACUCUCCCUCCAGCUGAACUCAACUGUUCAAAUGAGUCUAAAGCAGCAGAGGAACUGUCCAGCUAACCCAUAGAAUCGUGAGAAAUAAUACACCGUAGUUGUUUUAAACCACAACAGGUGGUUAAUUAUGCAACCAAAGCUAACAAACAGAUUGUGUUCUGAAUUUUUCGUGUAACUGCACAUCGUCAUUUCCCCCACGUUAUUAAUAUAUUUAUUAAGGUUCUUUUGUUUGCAACCAUGGGAAACCAGUUUAAAUAAAAGGGGGAUACAUUAGAAGGUUCCUGGGGUAUUUCAAGCUACAGAAGGUAAAGUUGGGGAGGGGAGAAGUCAGGGCCACCAUGGGGGUGUCAACAGUAGGAGGUCACAAGUGUCUCUCCAGAAAACUGCCAUUAACAAUUAAUGUUAAUGACUUCUGGACAACUAACUUCAAGUUCUCAGCACAGGCUUGGGCCGAGCGUCUACCUCUGGAUCUUUUAGCUAUGAUGGGGGGCGGGGCAGGAUGCAGAGACAGGAGACAGAAGGGAAAACAGCCCUGAGUCGGUGGAAAUCCAGUAUGGAAGCCGGAACCAGGAGCGCGGGCCGCCGCGCCGGCGGCGACAUCUUGCUCGGCAGGAAAGCGCGGGGAGAGCGGGCGGCUCCGAGCUGCUGCGCCACGCGCGCAGAGGACCGGCCGGCGCCGCGGGGCCGGGGGCGCACGGAGGAGGCGACAGCGCGGCACUGAACGGCGGGCACUCGGGGCCGGCGGGCGGCACCAUGUCCCCGGGGAGCGGCGUGAAGAGCGAGUACAUGAAGCGCUACCAGGAGCCGCGCUGGGACGAGUACGGGCCGUGCUACCGCGCGCUGCUCCACUACCGCCUGGGCCGCCGGCUGCUGGAGCAGGCGCACGCGCCCUGGCUCUGGGACGACUGGGGCCCGGCCUGCGCCUCGGACGACUCGGCGUCGUCGGCGUCCUCGGGCAACGGGGCCCCCGCGCCCCAGUGCGCCCCGGCCUCGCCGCCGCCGCCCGUGGAGCCAGAGGCGCGCGAGGAGUCGGAGCAGCGGGCGCGCGCGGCCCCGGAGGAGGAGCGGGGCGCGGAGGCCGCGGGGGACGCGGAGGCCAGGGACGCGGAGGACGCGGAGGACUCGGCGCUGCCAGCACUGCCAGUGAAAGACAUAAAAGAAAAACCUGAACGACAGAUCGGGACCAGAGAGCCUGACAAAUUACCCAGCAGUACCAGACCUCAACAACCACCAAGUGCCUUACCUGCCAGAGCAAGCAGGAGAGCGGUCAAGAGUCCUCAAAGGUCAUCAACUAAAAUAAAAGAACAUAAGCAUCCGUUUGCCCUUUAUGGGUGGGGAGAAAAACAGACGGAUACGGGAAGCCAGAAAACUCACAACGUCUGUGCUUCUGCCCCAGUGCAUGAGAUUCAUGAAUCGGCGCUGCGAGCCAAGAGCAGAAGGCAGGUGGAGAAGAGGCGGCUGGCGGCCCAGAGGCAGAGGGCUCACUCCGCCCACGCGGACAGAACCAGGCGGGCCAAGCCUGCCUCGUCGGAGAACCCGUGGAUGACGGAGUAUAUGAGAUGCUACUCCGCCAGAGCUUGAGGGCAGGGACAGUUGCUCAGACAACCUCUUUCAAAAAGUGUAAAUGAAAGAAAGCAAAAAACAAAACAAAAACCAUCAAAAGAAACUGGACACAGGUUUAAGAAACCAGCUGAUUAUGCAAGAUUUUUCUUAGGGAAUUUCCAAAGGAUUGUCUCUUUUGAUGAAUCCUGGUCACCUACCUCAGCAGUAGGGUGACAGCUGAAAGCCAUAGACAUUUGGUUAUUUAUGAGAAUUCCCUAAAUCUUUGACAUUCUUAGAAGGAUUUUAUUUUAGAGCAUCUUAAUCUUUUAAGAUACUGACACCAGACGCCUUUAAAUGGCUUACAGAUUCUUAACUUCAGUAUCUUCCCUCAGUUUAGGUGGAGCCUGUGUUGCUCCUGUUCUGAACGACUUCUGAGAUUCCAUAGCUGGUAAGAUCACACCAGCUUGUGGCAGAAGACUCAUUUUCCUUAUGUGUCGAUUUCUUUGUGAAAGAAUAUCAAGUUAAAAGUGAGUUUCAACGCUAGUACUGAUUCCAUGUAUAGUGAAAGUAGAGCUUUGGUAGUUCCUAACAAACUUUUCUUUUGCAUUUCAGUUCAGCACCACUUCACGUGGACUGUGAUAUUUAAGAAUUACUGGGCUGGGUGAGGGUCAUCUUUUCUCUUUAAAUUGUCAUCUAAGCACUUAUUAAUAGUUUAAUAGUUCAAGCGCAUUCCAGUAAACAAAGUGCCAGUGCAGUGUGUUUCGAAGUAGUACUGGUUUCUUUUGAGUCAAAGACUGUCACUUUUUAUUGUGAGAUUUUUUAAGAACACAUAAUGGGGUACCAUUCACUCGCUGCAGUCUGGCCUUUUGACACACACCCACUGUGGACUUUUGCCUCCUCUCUGAUUGUUUGGCCGUGACAUUUAGAAUUUAAUUGUCCUGCUCGUUGGGGAUGGGGACAGAUUUUAAGAUACCUGCUAGAGAUGUGGACCACCCCUACUUUCUCCUCCAUAGAACUCACCAGUAACAAAGCCUUGGUGAUGUACAUUGUUCAGACUUUCGGUUGAAAUACAUUCCUCCUAGGCUCCUAGCCGGUGGGUCUUGUGUAGAACCUAACGUGAGAGGAUGCUGGUGUGUGCGUGGGCAGAGACGUAUGUAAAUGAGGUGCUCCUUGUCUCUAGUACAUUGGCUUUUGUGGUAGAAAGUGAUUUUGAGAAACACUGGUUUCCAUCCAGGAGAGACAAGAAUCUGCAGGAAGGAUGAAUGGUAAACUCCUCAUAGGAGAGAAGGAAGUACUUUGCCAACUUAGCACGUGCAGAUGUGUGAACGAAAAGCUGGUGUUUGAUGUGAGUUUGAGCAUUUCCUUGACAUUUUUUACUCUGGGUCUUUGAAGUAUUAUGGUCAAUUUUUAGAACACAAAUGUUUUAUUCCAUGUAAAAUCUUCACACAGUAUCAUCUUACACAACUGUAUUAAGUUUUGCAAACUCAUACUGAAGAAUCAUGAGCUUUUAAAAAAAAAAAAAAAACUCUAAAAAUAUUUGCAUCGUUUUUAGGUGAAUACAUCGUGAGGUCUCCUGGUCACUGCGAUGUAUAUUUAGUACGAAGGAGGUCUGUGUGUUGUCCAAAACAAGCUCGCUAGUGAUUCUGGUGAAUCUUGCUGUUAUUAUAGUCCUUAAACAUUGCAGGUACCUAAAGAUGAAAUUCCUGUGGCAUCGUGAUGGUGGAAACUGUUUCUUUAAAAUCACUUCCUGCAUGUUCGGUUUCAGCCACUGGCUCUGGCGUUCCAUUCCCGUUGCAGCUGACAAUCUUAGGAAGGGGCCGAGGGGAGUAGCUCGGGUCCACACGGAUGGACUUAGAAACCCGACCCUUCGAGGCUCUGAGCAAGCCAGACUCUCUCCUUUAGAAAACAGACUCAUAUUCAAUGUGCUUACUUAUUACUGCAAACUCCAGAUGCAGAUCUGGAAGAACCUAGAGGGCAAUACUGGCCAAUUUUUCCCCAUUUUUAAGUAGAGGACAAAUGAACAAAAUUUUUAAAGUACUUUUAAUGUGCAUGAACAAUGAAUGAGUCAAUAUGAAGUACUUGUGAGUCCCCUUCCUAUGUCCAAGUCAUUAGUUGGUUAGGGUUUCUUUACUUUCCUUUCUCUUUAGGGGUAAAGAUUAUCUUUUAAGCCUACAAAAUGUUUUAAGUUGUAACAAUUUGAUGUCCUACCUUUUUUCCUUCUCAUUCUAGAAACUGAUGUUGUGAUCGUGUUCCCAUUUCUUUGGACAACUUAUAACACGGCAAGCAGGACUGAUUUCCCAGGGAUGCCCGCGGUGUGCCCUUCAUAACAACAGUGCUCCUGUAGCCUGUGACUGCUGUUUAUAGAUUAAAGGACACCUUCUUCAUGACUGCCACGGUUCAGGAAGCCUGGCGGCCCACGGGCAGGGGACACCACGCCUGCUGCCUGGGAUCUUGCUGUGAGUGUGGCUUCAACUUAAACCCAGAACACUGGCCGUGUUGGCUGUGACCGGGAGUCUGAACCAGUUCAGAGUGACCGCUCGUGACAGCGAACGUUGCCCUUAAUCCAUCUUUUACUGGUUUCAUGACCUAGGUGUUGACUAGGGCCCGAGACAGCCUGUCGCACUUGAGGAUUUCAAGGGAACUGGAGGUUCUUCUGUCUCUGCGUGGCCUUCUGCUGCUUGAGAGGAAUCCUGGGGCUCAGGACCAAAUGCCUGCUUCCUGCCAAGAGCUCCCCACCAGCAGCCCGCCUUGCUGGGGGCCCCGGCCUGGCACCACACACCCCUCCCUCACGGAUGGAGCCUGACACCGCCCACCGUGCUUUCUGCGACGUUUUCCGUGCACGCGACUCGUACCCACGCCCGGCCGAGUGCUCUGCUGUGUGGCGUCACCCUGUGAGAACGGCUGUGACAACGGGUGAGACGCCAUCUCACCGCAACGUCCCCGGGGACAAACACCAGACCCGGCCUAAAGCCGAGGCCGCUACAUGGAUCCUCAAACGUCACUACAUGGGGUAAGAGUCUGAAGUCACGGGCUAGUGCUUAAAGCCAACAUUACUCCUGGAAACAAAAAGAGGAAGACAGGAAGGCCAGAGCACGGUAAUCGGAUAGUUACAGAUCAAGUAAAAAAAAUCCGAGCACCUAAGGACAUUUUUCUUCUAUGCUUGCUCAAGGACUCAGUCAAAUAAACAGAGAAGAGAAGCAGCACAGGCGAGGGCCAGCCGGGUCAGGAGUUCAUUGGCAGACAGCACAGGAGUGUUGCCACAGUAACUGCAGACAUUAGAUGCUGCUGGGCGAGGGGCGUCAGGCAGAGACAACCCUCCUGCGGGCGAAGGGUGACAGCCACGGCACAGGCCCCCAGGCACUGCCUCACCUUCACGGAGAGAUAUCCGACUCACAGGCGACUUCGGUACGGCUUCAGCCACCAAAUACAAAACGACUGACAAGCAUUCGAAAACCAGUUGGCAUGCAUUUUCAGUCAUGCAUUUUUUUUUUUUUUUGUGGAACGCGGGCCUCCCUCUGCCGUGGCCUCUCCCUUUGCGGAGCACAGGCUCCGGACGCGCAGGCUCAGCGGCCAUGGCUCACGGGCCCAGCCGCUCCGCGGCAUGUGGGAUCCUCCCAGACCGGGGCGCGAACCCGGUUCCCCUGCAUCGGCAGGCGGACGCGCAACCACUGCGCCACCAGGGAAGCCCCAGUCAUGCAUUUUUAACUGAUAAUAUUUUCAGUGUACUGAAGGCAGGGACAGAAAGGCAAUUUAUCAAGCUUGCAGGUUUCUUUUUCUUUUCUUUUUAAAUCAAAGCAUGGUUUCACAGUGAUGAAAUCAACUUAUUUCCACCUCCAACAACUUGGCACUAAAGGUAUGUUAAACAUGGAAAAUACUCUUACCAGUUAAAAUAAGAACGCUUUAUAGUCCUUGAAAUUCCAGUAAACGCGUGUGUUUGAAAUGUCCAUGAAUUUUGAAGAAAAAAAAGGUGCCAGUCAACAGAAAUCGCGGUGCCUUGUCCUACUGUGCCUUGCUGUGGAGACCACAGGGCUGUCCCCCGGGGCCUGCCGUCCACUUCCUGGGAGUGGCAGCCCUGGCCUCUGCAUCUCGGGCCCCUGUACUCUGAGCCACACUGCAGAAGGCUAUUUGGAAGCUUAAAUCAGAUGUUAAAUGUGAGAACACCUUUAAGUUGUAAAAAAGUGCUAUGCCCCUUCGAGGCUUUACGAUAGACAUUUCAAAUGACAGUAUUAAAAAUGAGGAAUCUGUUAAACAAAAAUUCUCCAGUAAUUUCUCAAUAAACUAUGUUUUUCUGUAAAAGAAGAAAAGAAAAGUGGGCAUGAAAUCCUAUACUUUGAUCGGAGACACACUGAACAACCAACGCAGCCUUGGGUACUGGAUUUCUCCAAGUGCAGAAGUGUAUUUCUCACGGCUCAGAUAGGGCUAAAGUCUGAAGAAUCAGGUAAAAACAUGUAUAAACAACCUAAAUAGAAAACCGAAUUUAAAAGCUUCAGGUGAAAUCAUUUCAUCUUAAAAUUAGAGUAGGAAAAACUAUUAUUUGCCAUUCCUCUCCUACUGCUUUGAACAGGGGGCAGUUACUGAGUUUUUAUAGCUCUGGCUUCUGCUUCAACGUGAGGACCUGUCAACUGUAACAGAGCGUGUGUAAUUAACAGAAUUGAGAGAUUCGACACAUUUCACCCCAAGCAUUUAUGGCCCAUCCUACAAGUCUUGGACAGCUGAGCAGGCCUAGGCCUGAAAGCAGACGUUUAUCGACAAAUCGUCUGUUCCAUCGCUUCUCACAGCCUCAAGUGACUGGUCAGUGCGCACGGACAGCACAGCAGUCUGGACGCCUGCUUGCCUACAGGCUGUACCGUCAGGUACCAAGAGGCCAACUAAGAGUGCACAGACAGCGUUCCCAAGAAAUACUGAUCCGAACAACAAAACCUGCACCCUAAACAGCAAAGCUCUUAACCCUAGAAUGUAAAACAAGACGACUGGGUAACUAGGCACUGAAGUCAACAGUCGCAAAGGAGGAGGCUGCUCUGAGAGUUAUGAUUUUAGACAGUUCCAUUACCAUGUGUCUUGGAAAGAGAGUUGUGGACUGAAACUUGGACUCCAAAUGCCUCCCAAGGUUUGGGAAGUUCUCAGCCAUCAUUUCUUUAAACUAGCUUCCCUCCCUCCCUCUCUUCUCCUCCCGGGGCUCCAGUGAUGUGUAGACUGUCUCUUAACGGUGUCCUGUAAGUCCUGGAGGCUUUUCAUUCUUUACGGCCCCCCCCCCCCACCCCGCUUUGCUUCUCUUUGAAUAAUUUCAAAUGAUGUGUCUUCAAGCUCACUGUUUCUUUCUUCUGUUGCUGUUGAAGCUCUGUAUUAAACUCUUCGGUUCAGUCGUUGUAUUCUUCAGCU